UACGUAGGGGGCGAGCGUUGUCCAGAUUUAUUGGGCGUAAAGCGCGUGCAGGCGGUUCGUUAAGUCCGUUGUGAAAGCUCCUGGCUCAACUGGGAGAGGUCUUCGGAUACUGGCGAACUCGAGGGAGGCAGAGGAAGGUGGUAUUCCGGGUGUAGUGGUGAAAUGCGUAGAGAUCCGGAGGAACACCAGUGGCGAAGGCGGCCUUCUGGGCCUUCCCUGACGCUGAGACGCGAAAGCGUGGGGAGCGAACCGG
This 253-nucleotide ribosomal RNA is filed under the name uncultured bacterium. RNAcentral's name for it is "partial 16S ribosomal RNA". It matches the Rfam family "Bacterial small subunit ribosomal RNA", at positions 524 to 776 of the family's 1533-position model. The record is from RNAcentral.